UUUAUGGGGCCCGGUGAGUAAGUGGGAUUUAAAUUAAGGUAGAUUUUAAUAUUUUGUUUUAUUUUAGGUUCUUAGGCAUAAUUGUUUGGAUAUGACGCUUAUUUUUAUUCACUAUACACCAGUGUUGGAGAUUGAACAAUAAACUUUAGUUUGAUUCAGUGAGUUGCUAUCUAGGCCUGGUAAAGUUUGUGCCAGCAACUGCGGUUAGACAAACAGGCCGAGUUAAGAUUUGUGCAGCAUAAAGUAGGGUUAGGAGGAAAGUUAAAUGGAUUGUUUAAUAGGAAAUUUAAGAUGGUUUGAGGGGUGCAAUCCUAAGAGUCGUGUUUUUAUCUAGUAUUUCCUUUUGUCUGACGCCCUGAGAUUCCAAUUUAAGACCGGGAUUUGGUAUCCCGUUAUUCGGAGUGUAAACUUUGGUUUUUAUAUCUGCUGGGGUACUACGAGCGCUGAAUUAGGCCAGGCUUAAAACUCAAAAAACUUGGCGGUGUUUCAUAUCCUCCCAGGGGAACCUGUCUCAUAAA
This 518-nucleotide ribosomal RNA is filed under the name Haliotis discus hannai (Japanese disc abalone). RNAcentral describes it as "partial 12S ribosomal RNA". The record is from RNAcentral. Lineage: Eukaryota; Metazoa; Mollusca; Gastropoda; Lepetellida; Haliotidae.